This 551-nucleotide long non-coding RNA is filed under the name Anas platyrhynchos platyrhynchos (common mallard). RNAcentral describes it as "lncRNA (ENSAPLG00000022623.1)". The record is from RNAcentral. Lineage: Eukaryota; Metazoa; Chordata; Aves; Anseriformes; Anatidae.
CAAAGCCGAAGCUGAGCGGAGGCUGAAGGGGCUGUAACGCGAAAUCAGUUUGCUGUAAUGUCAGAGAUAGAAAUCAGCGAGAAGCCGCGCAGGAGCGUGUUAUCCCGGCAGCUUGAGAAAAAUAAAUGAGUUGCAGACGAAGGGCAGUGCACAAACUAUUCCCAGCGGCUGAGUGACACCUGGUAACUUGUUAGGCCUCUUGAUGAUAAUGUAGCUGCUACCUGAGAAUCCAAGAGGGAAAAGAAGGUGUCUGCAUUCUAAUUUGUCAUCAGCAUCAGCAGACUCAGAAUUUACUGAGGUAAAAUACCAGUUCACAGUUUGAAGGUGAGAUGUGGACAUCAAUAGCAAGCUUCACAUGGUUAUCAGAGAAUUAAGCAGUGGCUGAAACAAGACUUCAGGAAAAGUUGGAUUCCUCGCACACAGACUGCUGACCAAGCAGCAGAGGUUCAGUAGAUACGAGCCCAUUCUGGAUCAUCUUAGAGGGCCUGUUUUCUCCAGUUCUGCAAAGACGUCAGUACUGCUGGAUUCCUGAGCCCAUUCAAAGAGCCUCU